This 252-nucleotide ribosomal RNA is filed under the name uncultured prokaryote. RNAcentral describes it as "partial 16S ribosomal RNA". It matches the Rfam family "Bacterial small subunit ribosomal RNA", at positions 524 to 775 of the family's 1533-position model. The record is from RNAcentral.
GACAGAGGGUGCAAACGUUGUUCGGAAUUACUGGGCGUAAAGCGCGUGUAGGCGGCUUGGCAAGUCGGGUGUGAAAGCCCUGGGCUUAACCUAGGAAGUGCACUCGAAACUGCCGAGCUUGAGUUCUGGAGAGGAAGGCGGAAUUCUCGGUGUAGAGGUGAAAUUCGUAGAUAUCGAGAGGAACACCGGUGGCGAAGGCGGCCUUCUGGACAGCAACUGACGCUGAGACGCGAAAGCGUGGGGAGCAAACAG